UUCCAUCUGCAUUCCCUGUGAAGCCAACUUCUCCGAGAAUCAGUUCACCCAGAGCUGCAUCUCCUAGGAGUUCUUAUACGGCUGCAUCUCCUAGUGCUACUUCUCCAAGGAUCCCAUCUCUGAGGGUUGCUUCUUCAAGCGUCAUCUCUCCUAGGGCAGCUUCUCCAAAGGCUACCUCUCAUAGGGCAGCUUCUCCAAAGGCUACCUCUCCUAGGGCAGCUUCUCCAAAGGCUACCUCUCCUAGGGCAGCUUCUCCAAAGGCUACCUCUCAUAGGGCAGCUUCUCCAAACGCUACCUCUCUUAGGGCAGCUUCUCCAAAGGCUAUCUCUCCUAGGGCAGCUUCUCCAAAGUCUCUUUCUCCUAGGGCAGCUUCUCUAAAGGCUAUCUCUCCUAGAGCUACUUAUCCCGAGGUGAGUGAGAAACACAAAGAGAUUAGCUAUGCUAACAAACCAGAACCAACUUUGACGCUCCAUCUUGCAGCAACCAAGAUACAGGCAGCCUACAGACGGCACGUGGUAAGGUUCAAGAUAACUCCCUCAUGCAAUGUUUGGCUGAAAAUAGCCUUUAACAAUAUAGCUCGAUUUUUGCGAGCUAGCUAGAUCUUGAGUGAUAAGUUUAAGUCAUGUUAUUGCAAACUCAUAAUUAGCCUGCCAAGUAAUCAUUUCUAUGUCUACUGCAACUAUUUAUUUCUGACAAAGACAAGCAUCAAACAGAAAUAAUAAAUAAUUAUGUGAUAAGCUUUGUGCUCUGUUAAAUAUUUGUGGCUCUCUUAUUAGUCUAAGAUUUGGGUGCUUUUUCUGUGGAGAAAUUCCCUACUGUAUGUUACAGAACCUGGGAACAGGUAAACAAAUUUUUAUCCCUCUGAUCAAAGCAUGUUUGAGUUUCAUCCAGUGGUUUCAGGGCGCAUUUCUACAUAAGAAGUUAGUUUCUACCACGGUCGGUCUUAUUACUGCAGUUCCACUUGAUCUGUAUAAAUCCUUUGAUCUUCUAUAAUUUUUUCUUUAUGAUAGUUUGACUUGACCAUUGAAGCUUCACGAUUCAUUCUUACAUUCUCAGCUUCUGGAGAUCUUAUACCUUUGACUAUUUCUUUUAGUAGAUUGACUGUGAAACAGAUAAAAUUUAACUGAUCGUGAAAAGGCCACUUUCCUCGGCCGAGAACUCCUUUCUUUUUGAAAUUUUGACAAAGACAAAGUAACUUGCAGAUUAUCUGAAAUAGGGUAUAAAACAAGAGAGAUUAAAAUUCUUGUAAAAGUAAUCAAGACCCCUAAUCUUUUUAAAUCGUUUUCAAGAAACUAGUGAGUUAUCCCCCAUUUCCGGUUCUAAUAACUUUACUGCUAAAAAAUAGUUUUCCUCAAUGUCUGAAUCAUGCUCGUGAAGCAUGGAAAAUUCAGAGUCUGCAAUCAUCUGUCACAAGCUUCUUGAAAAUUCGAGUAAUUUAGUUCUUAUCAACUUGUGAGAAAACUUUAUAUGUCAAAUUAAACAAUAUAGAGUUGUGUGUCCUAAUUGUUACUCGUCUUGAUUUAAGUAGGGGGUGAAUAGAAAUUCAUUGUUCAUAAAAAGAUUAAAAAGAAAAACAUUAGAGUCCUUUCCCAUUUUCUCCCUUUCCCGGAGCAGUUCAUAUUGGUGGGACAAGAAUGUAUUUGCUUCCAAAGAGAGUAUAUCAAUUGCUAAUAAUAAAGUGUGGAAACACUAUAGAUCCUCCUAAUUUGGGAGGGAAUUAAAAAAAAAAAAAAAUUGCUAUUAAUAAUUGUUGUAUGUCCUAUGUGAAUGUGCUCUGCUUCACAGGGAAGGAGGAGUUUCAAGUCUUUGAGGGGUUUAGCAAGACUUCAAGGAGUGGUCAGAAACAGAAAUGCAAAGCGGCAGACAGUAAAUGCCAUGAAACAAAUGCAGCUUCUAGUUAGGGUUCAAAUGCAAAUUCAGUCAAGGAGAACUCAGAUGUUCCAGGCACUCCAAAGUCAAGCUUACACGAAUGAUAAAGAAGCUGAGAGCACCCUAAGCAAAUGGACUAAGUUGGUAAGUUUAAACUGCUAAAUAUCUUGAGGUGCUCACCUAUUUAGUGGUGGUGAUUUAGGCUGAUGCCAUAUCUUGGAGUCACUGUUUGCCUACAUUCUUGAGUUGAUUUAAUUUUAUUCAAUUAAAUUGUGUGUUUUUCCUCAUUGUUGGUGCUUUUACUCCUUGAUUAUCUUGUGAAAGAAUUGAUAUGUUCUUCCGAUGGUCAAAGAUGGUAUGCAACUUCUUCAACAAUGCCAAUUUAGAUUCUAGGAUUCGCUUUGUACAUAUACUGUGGUGUAAAGGAUGUGAGAGUUAUCGAAUUGAAGUUCUUUUCUUUUUCAAACAUAUUUUGAAUUACCUCUGAUGUUGAAAAGGAAAUUUUGGUUUAGACCGAGGCAGGUAACCAUGAUGAUUGGGAUAAUAGUGUGCUAACUAAAGAAGAGGUAGAAGCAAGGCGUCGAGAAAAAGUGGAGGCUGUAAUCAAGAGGGAGAGAGCAAUGACCUAUGCAU
Molecule: long non-coding RNA, 2502 nt
Filed under: Nicotiana tabacum (common tobacco)
Lineage: Eukaryota; Viridiplantae; Streptophyta; Magnoliopsida; Solanales; Solanaceae
Description: long non-coding RNA (NTAB_LNC012110)
Source: RNAcentral